Molecule: ribosomal RNA, 252 nt
Filed under: uncultured bacterium
Lineage: Bacteria
Description: partial 16S ribosomal RNA
Rfam family: Bacterial small subunit ribosomal RNA
Source: RNAcentral
UACGGAGGAUGCGAGCGUUAUCCGGAUUUAUUGGGUUUAAAGGGUGCGUAGGCGGACUGUCAAGUCAGCGGUAAAAUUGAGAGGCUCAACCUCUUCCCGCCGUUGAAACUGGUGGUCUUGAGUGGAUGAGAAGUACGCGGAAUGCGUGGUGUAGCGGUGAAAUGCAUAGAUAUCACGCAGAACUCCGAUUGCGAAGGCAGCGUACCGCCAUCCAACUGACGCUGAGGCACGAAAGCGUGGGGAUCAAACAGG